GCCUGAGGCAGUGGGUGUCUGCAGUCCCAGGGGCUGGGGAGGCUGAGGUGAGAGGAUCCCUUGAGCCCAGGAGUUCACUGUGCCAAUUGGGUACCUGCACUAAAUUAGGCAUCAAUACAGUGACCUCCUGGGAGGGAGAGUCCUGGCGGGGCACCACCAGGUUACCUAAGGAAGGGUAAACUGGCCCAGAUCAGGAACUGAGCAGGUCAAAACUCCCAAGUAAAUCAGUAGUAGGAUCACACCUGUGAAUAGCCACAGUACUCCAGCCUAGGCAACAUAGCAAGGCUCUGUCUCU
This 295-nucleotide signal recognition particle RNA is filed under the name Microcebus murinus (gray mouse lemur). Its description in RNAcentral is "Metazoan signal recognition particle RNA (ENSMICG00000032205.2)". It matches the Rfam family "Metazoan signal recognition particle RNA". From Rfam's summary of the family: The signal recognition particle (SRP) is a universally conserved ribonucleoprotein. The record is from RNAcentral. Lineage: Eukaryota; Metazoa; Chordata; Mammalia; Primates; Cheirogaleidae.